RNAcentral lists this ribosomal RNA (465 nucleotides) under Vreelandella stevensii. RNAcentral describes it as "partial 16S ribosomal RNA". It matches the Rfam family "Bacterial small subunit ribosomal RNA", at positions 338 to 795 of the family's 1533-position model. Lineage: Bacteria; Pseudomonadati; Pseudomonadota; Gammaproteobacteria; Oceanospirillales; Halomonadaceae. The record is from RNAcentral.
CCUACGGGGGGCUGCAGUGGGGAAUAUUGGACAAUGGGCGAAAGCCUGAUCCAGCCAUGCCGCGUGUGUGAAGAAGGCCUUCGGGUUGUAAAGCACUUUCAGUGGGGAAGAAAGCCUUGGGGCUAAUACCCUCGAGGAAGGACAUCACCCACAGAAGAAGCACCGGCUAACUCCGUGCCAGCAGCCGCGGUAAUACGGAGGGUGCGAGCGUUAAUCGGAAUUACUGGGCGUAAAGCGCGCGUAGGCGGUCUGAUAAGCCGGUUGUGAAAGCCCCGGGCUCAACCUGGGAACGGCAUCCGGAACUGUCAGGUUAGAGUGCAGGAGAGGAAGGUAGAAUUCCCGGUGUAGCGGUGAAAUGCGUAGAGAUCGGGAGGAAUACCAGUGGCGAAGGCGGCCUUCUGGACUGACACUGACGCUGAGGUGCGAAAGCGUGGGUAGCAAACAGGAUUAGAUACCCGAGUAGUC